GACAACCACAGUUUUAAUGUUUACAUGCCCUUAUUUAGGGAAGUAAUGAGUCUGUGAAUGAUUUCCCAGACCAACAAACAAUGAUUGUGUAAGAAGCCAAACUUCAUGAUGUCCAUGGUUGAUGUCUAAUCCACGCCUUAAUAAGGAUAGUGAUGGUAAUUUCAUUAAGUCAACCAUCAUUGUUCGUUUCGAAGGUUAAAUGGUUAAGUCAAAUUUAUAUUCCUUAUAUGUCACUGUCUCAUUGACUUAUGAAGGAGAUUAGUGGUUUUUAUGUUUUAGUCUAGUGGUAAAAAAAGAUUAUGGAUUAAAUAAAGGACACGAGAGGAAUGAGUCUAAUCAUAGUUGUUGCAUAUUUAGAAAUUAAUAUUUUACCAGUGUUACAAUUAGCUGGCUUGUUAGAUGUUGAAAGCCCAAAGGAUUUUUAGUCUUUUAUGUUGCCUUGAUUAUCUUUCAUUAUUUUAACUAGGCUUCUAUUUCCUAUAAAUUAAUGCUCUCUUGUAUCAUUAAGAAAAUAAUAAGAAAGAUUUGCACGAUGGUUUUUCUCCUUGAACUAGGGUUUCCCCGUAAAACUUGUGUUUGCUUUUCGUCUCUACUUUUAAUAUUGUAUCAUAGCAUGAUAUUGAGUCAUUGACCAAACCGUAGACAAUGCAAUUCUUGAUGGAAACCAAACAAUGGAAACAACCGUCGGUAUCAACGCCGUCGUCGAUGCUCCGAUCAGCGCUGCCAUGGAUGAGUGGUUUCGCUAACUUCAGACAACACUAGCCAACAUGAUUCUGUCACACUUUCCAUUGUCUGCGCCUCCACACGCAGCCGCUGGGGACCUCCAGGACCAGCCUAACAAGUUCAAAUCAUGUCGACCAAUCCUUCUUUGCCACAUAAUUCUGUUCAACCACCACCGCUUCUGCUGUCAAACUUGUAUGUGCUGCCACCCACUAAUUCUAUUGCAAAACCCAGUUAUCAUUUCGAGGUUAGGAAUCCUCAAAUUCACUCAACAUUUGAGGUUGGUGAAUCUUCGGCACAUUCCAACUCUAACGUGCAAGCUUCAUCUUCUUUUUCGUGUAUAGCUCACCAACAACUGGAAGAGCUUCGACAAUAGAUUACAGCAAUUGAGACUAUCUUAGGGGUGAAAUCCAGCACUUCUGGUCACGACCAUCGUACACCUUUACCCAUGUAUUUUGAGAUUUCGAUAACAUCGUUCCUCACUUUAUCUUCUUAUGCAACUAACACAAUGACACAUCACAGUCUCCAGGAUAUUUUUUAGGGGAAAAAUUGAACGACAAUAACUAUUUCUUAUGGUCUUAGUCAGUGAAAAUGGUCCUUGAAGGUCGACAUAAAUUUGGUUUUUUGGCAGGGGAAAUAUCUUGUCCUUCAUCGGGAGACCCACAUGAACGAAAUUGGAAGGGAGAUGACUCUCUUCUUUGAUCAAUAUUGAUUAAUAGUGUGAAGCCAUAGAUCGACAAACCCUUACUAUACGCCACAAUUGUUAAAGAUAUUUGGGACACAACCCAUAAACUAUAUUCCAAACAUUAGAAUGCUUCUCGCCUAUACACACUAUGACAAUAGUUUCAUGAGUGCAAGUAAGGAACCAUAGACGUCACAUCCUUUUUUAAUAAGCUCUCUCUUAUCUGACAAGAAACGGACCUAUGUAGAGAAUUAGUCUGGAAUAGUCCUAGUGAUGGUGUGCAGUACUCUAGAAUUGAAGAGAUUGACGAGAUUUGUGACUUUCUUGUUGGUCUUAACCCUAUGUUUUAUGUGGUUCGUGUGCAUAUAUUGAGCCAAAGACCGACUCUCUCCCUAGUGGAGGUCUGUUUUAAAAUCUGCCUCGAGGAGGAUCAUACAAGUGCUAUGAAUAUUUUGGCAACUUCUGCUAUUGACUCCGCUGCUUUUAGUGCAAGAUCCUCUACCAGCGAUAGUAACAAGAACACUAGAAAACCAGCUCCAGUUUGUGAGCAUUGCAAGAAGCGACAAGAUACGAAGGAGCAGUAUUGGAAGUUACAGUUGUCCUCAGGAGGUAAGAAACUCUCUCCCAACGACAAACAAAACACAAAGCAGGCUUAUGUGACUGAGUUUGCUGAACCUUCUCAACCACUUGAUUCACAUGGAAACCAGACCGAUCAUAGUCCCGCUACUCUAGGCGCCAUUGUCCAAUUAAGUAUACAUUAUUAGUGUUGAUGAAAAGAACCUUUGCAUUCUGGAUUUUGGCACCAUAGAUCAUUUGAUUGGUUCCUCUAAACAUUUUGUCCUAUAUUCCAUGUUAUGGUAACAAAACAAUCAGAAUUGCAUACGACUCCUUGGCCCCCCAUUUCUGGGAAGGGGAAGAUUUCUUCCUGUGCAGGAUUCUCCCUACAUAAUGUUUUGCAUGUGUCCAAAAUUUCUUAUGAUCUGGUAUCUAUAAGCAAGAUUACUCCUAAGUUAAAUUGUAAAGCAACAUUUUUACCUACCUAUGUUUCUUUUUAGGACUUGAGCUCGGGGAGGAUAAUUGACACUGUCUGACAUAAUAGGGAACUCUACCUCCUUGAUGACGACCUCUUCUAGUAGCAUUUUGUGAGGCCCCCAAUUAUACACACAUAUGUUAGAAAGGGCAAAAAGGGAAAUUCACCAUCAAAUUAAUGAGGGAGAAUGAGUAGGCUAUAAAUAGUGAUGGAUGGGAAAUAAGGAGGUAGGUAUUUUUUGUCAUCUUUAGGUUAAGGAGGGCGGCUGUAGCCGUAGAGGGGGUAUCCUUCUUGUAAAGGGUGCUGGUAUGUUUCCUUUGUUAUUUCCUUUCUCUGUUAUAUUUCAUAGUGUGGCUGUAACUUUUUGGCUUAUAUAUAAAUAAAGAAAUACAGAGUACUGUCUCUGUUUAGCCAUUGCUCGGUGUUUUAUUUGAUAUUGUUGUUAGAACUCUGACAUUUGGUAUCAGAGCCCGAAAACUGGGGGUUGUUACGCGAUUCAUGGCACAAAGGCAGAUGGAGGAAAGAAUGGAAGGAACUGAGAAGGAGAUAUUGAGCAUGAAGGAAAUGUUAUUGGAGAUGAAAAAGUCUAUGGAAAGACUGACGGAGGAACUAAGGGAGAAUCAUAGCUAUAAGCAAAGGGAUGAAUCCGAGACAUCAGAUGGAUCGAUCAUGAAGUUAAAAGGGAAAGUAGAGGAAUCGGAAGUCAGUAAUGAUGUUAACGGAAACACUGUGGAUCAAAGUAAGUACAAAAAGUUGGAAAUGCCUAUGUUCUUAGGCGAAAAUCUAGAAUCCUGGGUAUACAGGGCAUAAUAUUUUUUUUUAAAUCAACAAUCUGCCAGAAACAGAGAAGAUCAAAGUGACGGUGGUCAGUUUUGGGUAGGAUGAAGUGGAUUGGUACCGGUGGACGCAUAAUAGGAAAAGAGUAGAGUCAUGGGAAGACUUGAAAGGAAUGAUGUUUGACUUUUUCAAGGACUCAGGACAAAUGAGUUUAGUGACACAUUUGAUUAAGAUUCAACAAGACGGCUCCUACAGUGAUUAUGUGAAGAAAUUUGUCACAUAUUCAGCUCCUCUACCUCACAUGGAAGAGAGUGUGUUGCGAGAUGCUUUUCUAACCGGUUUAAAACCUAACCUUCAAGUAGAAGUCGUUAGCCGAUAUCCUCAAACGUUGGAAGAUUGUAUGAGAGAGGCUUAACUAGUCAAUGAUCGCAAUUUAGCAAUGAGAUUGACUAAGGCCGAUGGGAGGAUAAUGGAACCACAGAAAAAAGAAGAGUACGCAGGCAAAAUCCAAGAAGGAACAGACAAAGGUUUCGUGAGGAAGACAAAUUUUCCCCUGAAACAGGUAACCAUACCCAUUAAGGUUAAUUACCAAAAGAGUGAACCACCUAUCAAACGCCUGUCAGACGCAGAGUUGAGGUCCAAAUUGGACAAGGGCUUAUGUUUCAAAUGCAAUGAGAGAUAUACAUUAGGACACAGAUGUAGAGUGAAGGAAAAAAAGGAAUUGAUGUUAUUCAUCAUGAAUGAAGAAGAGAGUAAGGAAGACGAAGGUAAGACAGAAGAGAACACAGGAGAGGUGGUGGAAUUAAACCAUCUAGAUCUUGCAUAAGGAGAGGAAAUAGAGUUGAAAACAAUCCAUGGUAUGACAUCGAAGGGAACCAUGAAGCUGAGGGGAGUUAUAAGGGGCAAGGGAGUGGUGGUGCUGAUUGAUAGUGGAGCCACCCACAACUUCUACAUAACAGGAUAGUAGAGGAAAAUAAUCUAACCGUGGAAGAAGGUACUCCAUUUGCGGUUACAAUUGAAGAUGGCACCCGAUGUACGGGCAAGGGCAUAUGCAAGAGAGUAGAAUUGGAGCUACAAGGAGUUAUUGUCGUGGCUGAUUUUUGGCAAUUGAGUUGGGAAAUGUGGAUGUAGUCUUAAGGAUGCAGUGGCUGGACACGACAGGCACAAUGAAAAUACAUUGGCCGUCCCUAACAAUGAGUUUUUGGUUUGGAAAAAAGAAGAAUGUCUUGAAAGGAGACCCAUCCCUCAUCUAAGUAGAAUGCUCCUUGAAAGCAGUUGAGAAAACUUGGGAGAAGGAAGACCAGGGUUUUCUGUUGGAACUCCAGAAUUAUGAAGUAGAAACUGAUGUGGAGAUGGAGCAAGAAAUGAAAGGGGAUGAAGAUGUUCCAAUGAUCAAAUUUUUGUUGCAACAGUAUGUAGACAUCUUUGAAGAUCCUAAAGGGUUGCCCCCUAAGAGAGAAAUAGAUCACCGUAUCUAGAUUCUACCAAAUCAAAGGCCCAUAAAUGUCAGACCCUAUAAAUAUGGCCAUGUACAAAAGGAAGAAAUUGAGAAAUUGGUCAUGAAAAUGCUACAAGCAAGAGUGAUCAGACCUAGUCACAGUCCUUACUCCCGCCUUGUUUUAUUGGUUAAAAAGAAAGAUGGAGGGUGGCGCUUUUGUGUGGACUACUGGAAGCUCAAUCAAGUCACCAUAUCUGAUAAAUUUCCUAUCCCCGUGAUAGAAGAACUAUUGGAUGAAUUACAUGGAGCCAUGGUUUUCUCGAAAUUGGAUUUGAAAUCCGGUUACCACCUAAUAAGGAUGAAGGAGGAAAAUGUCGAAAAGACUGCGUUCAAAACACAUGGGGGCCACUAUGAAUUCCUUGUUGCCUUUUGGACUUACAAACGCUCCUGCCACCUUCCAAUCCUUGAUGAAUUAGGUAUUCAAACCCUUCCUAAGACGUGUAUUGGUUUUUUUUUUAUGAUAUACUUGUGUAUAACACGGAUAUUUCAAAACAUGAGAAGCAUCUAGGAAUGGUUUUUGCGGUAAUGAGAGAUAAUCAACUAUUUGCUAAUAAGAAGUACGUCAUAGCUCACUCCCAAAUCCAGUAUUUGGGACACUUAAUCUCCAACAAAGGAGUGGAGGUGGAGAGGAUAAAAUCAGAGACAUGGUGAAGUGGCCCCAACCAAAGGAUGUCAUGGGUUUGAGAGGGUUUUUGGGCUAUUAUAGAAGGUUUGUUAAAGGAUAUGGGGAAAUUGCAGCUCCAUUGACCAAAUUGUUGCAAAAGAACUCCUUUGUUUGGGACGACCAAGCAUUAGCUGCUUUUGAAAACCUGAAGAUUGUCAUGACUACAAUUCCGGUGCUAGCACUACCUAAUUGGAGUCUACCUAUUUUAAUUGAAACGGAUGCUUUGGGGAUAGGGUUGGGUGAUUUUCUAGGGCUAGUCUUUUAUCUUCCUAUUUUACUAUUUUGAACAAGAUUGUAUGGUGUGACAUUUUCGUUUACGCUACCUUAAUUUUAAUGAAUGAAACAUUUAUUUCCUCAUUUUUCUCUAAACUUGAUGUGUUUACUUUAUCUUGUGACGUAUGUAUUCAGAUAAACAACAUUAGGUUUCUUUUCCUUCAUAACCAUACAAACCAACCCAACGUUUCACACUUGUUCAUAUUGAUGUUUGAGGACCAUCCAAGAUAACUACCUCAUCUAGGAAAUGGUGGUUUGUAACCUUUAUUGAUGAUCAUACCCGUCUUACCUAGGUCUUUCUCGUCUCCGACAAAUUUCAGGUCACCUCCAUCUUCAGGGACUUCUAUCACACUAUAGAAAUGUAGUUCAAUGCAAUGAUUGCUAUUCUACAUUGUGACAGUGGUCAUGAAUUCCAAAACCACACCCUCAAUGAGUUUUUGUCUCGCAAAGGGAUUAUCCACCAAAGUUCCUGUGCCUACACCCCAAAAAAAAAUGGGGUAGCCAAGUGCAAAAACCGUCACCUUUUGGAAGUAGCUUGUUCUCUUAUGUUGUCCCUUCCUUUCUAUCUUUGGGACUAUGUUCUCACUAUGGCCCAUCUUAUCAACCGAGUGUUUUCUCGUGUUCUACAUCUCCAAACCCCAUUAGAGUGUCUUAAAGAGUUGUAUCCCUCUACCCACCUCAUUUCUGAUGUUCCUCUUCGAAUAUAUAGGUGCAUAAACUAUGUUCAUAACCAUGACCCUACCCAAGUAAGUUUACCUCUCGAGCUUGGGCAUGUAUUUUUGUUGGUUACUCUUUGCACCAACGAGGCUAAAAUGCUUUCAUCUGUCUUGUCGUUAGUAUUUUGUCUCCGUGGAUGUCACCUUUCUUGAGGAUCGUCCUUUCUUUCCCGUUAGCCUACUCAGGGAGAGUGAGAGUGAAGAGUUUAACUGGGUGAUUUUCUUAGAGUAUACCAGUCCUACUCUUGUUACCCUACCUAGCCCAGAUCCUUACAACAUGGUCCUAACACCUAUGAACAAAGUUCUUUGGAAAAUCUACUAUAGGAGGAAUCAUAGAAAGGAAGUUGGGUCUCCUACUAUUUAGCCGGCUCCAGUCCAAGAUUCUGAACCUUUACAAGAUCAAGGGUAGUGUUGAGACUGAGGUCGUUUCAAAUGGAAAGGGUAGUGAUGAUGGGAAUGAAGUUAGUGCAAAAGUUACCGAGAAUGAAACUAGAGAGGAUCACUCAGAAAAUAUCAGUAAGUUCAAUUUGUCUCUUGAUUUUCCUAGGUCCUCGACAAAUCACUCAUUUGCUAACUAUGUUUCUUAUAAGAAUCAAUCUCAUCAGUUCAAAAGCCUUUACCAAAGAAUGGUUGCCUUUGAAUGCCCAAAGUGGAAAACUGUAAUCAUGUAAGAAAUGAGAGCCUUGAAAAAGAACAAAACUUGGGAGCUUUGCACUCUCCCUAAGGGACAUAAGACUGUAGGAUGCAAAUGGUUUACUAUCAAGUACAAAACAGAUAGUACUCUUGACAAACAUAAGGCUAGGUUAGUUGGAAAAGGGUUCACUCAGAUUUAUGGGUUGACCUAAGACUUUUUCUCCUAUUGCAAAUUUAAACACUAUUAGAAUCUUGCUAUUUGUUGUGAAAAAAACUUGCCUCUAUAUCAACUUGAUGUUAAGAACGUGUUCCUACAUGGGAAUUUAGAAGAGGAAGUGUAUAUGAGUCCACCAAGAUCCGAAGCCCAGUUUGACCAUCAUAUUUGCAAACUUUGAAAGUCCUUAUAUGGAUUGAAACAAUCACUAAGAGCUUGGUUUGGCAGAUUUACCACAUUCGUCAAGUCUCAAGGGUACACCUGGGGGCACUAUGAGUUCACAAAAGUCUCUUAAAAAUUACAAUUUUGAUAGUCUAUGUUAAUGACAUUGUUUUAUCUGGAGAUGACACCAAUGAGAUUCUCCAACUAAAAAAGAAGAUUGAGUAUAAGUUUGAAAUUAAAGACUUGGGGAAUUUGAAAUACUUCCAUGAGUUUAGAAAUUUGUGAGGAAAGUUGGCUCUAGAAGAUGUUAUCUGAUAUUCGUUAGGACUAUGAGGUGCCUGUGAAACUUUUCUACGAUAAUAAGGCGGCUAUCAACAUUGUCAAUAACUCGGUCCAACAUGACAAAACUAAACAUGUGGAGGUUGAUAAACACUUUAUCAAAGAGAAAUUGGACAAUGGUACCAUAUGAAUUCCUUGUAUACCUUCAAGCCAACACAUUGCUGAUGUUCUCACAAAAGGGCUUUUCAGACAGAGCAUCGAGUCUUGUGUUAGCAAGUUGGGUCUUUUUUACAUUUACGGUCCAACAUGAGGGAGGGUGUUAGAAUUAGUGGACUUGUAUGUUGAAAGACCAAAGGUUUUUUAGUCUUUUAUGUUGCUCUAAUUAUCUUUCAUUAUUUUAAUUAGACUUCUAUUGCCUAUAAACUAAUUGCUUCCAUAUCAUUAGUUUUAUAAAAAAAAAUAAUAAGAAAGAUUUGCACGGUGGGUUUUCUCCCUGAACUGGAUUUCUACGUAAAACUUGUGUUUGUUUUUCGUCUCUACUUUCAAUAACAGGUUUUCGUGACAACAAAAUGUUGUAGGGUUAGGCAAGCUAUUUCUUGAAAUUAAUCUUGGUGUACAUAAGCUAGCCUAGACACCCAUGAAUGUGAUAAUAGUAAUAAGUCAGCAUGUGAGUAAGUUGAGAACUCAUUUAGACAACCAUCAUUGGUUGGUCUAGUGGUUAAAAAGGAGAUAUAGUCUCCAUAACUAACUAAGAGGUUAUGAGUUUAAUCCAUAGUGGUCACCUAUUUAAGAAUUAAUUUUCUACAAGUUUCCUUGACACUCAAAUGUUGUAGGAUCAAGUCGCUUAUCCUAUGAGAUUAGUCGAGGUAUGCGUGAGCUAGCUCGAACACUCGCGGAUGUAAAAAAAAGGUCAUAAGUUGGUCAGAUACUCACAAAUAUAAAAAAAAAAACUCAUUUAGACACGGGGA
This is a long non-coding RNA of Cucumis sativus (cucumber), 8616 nucleotides long. RefSeq lists it as uncharacterized. The transcript is spliced from 2 exons. The record is from RefSeq and is a predicted model, not a curated record. Lineage: Eukaryota; Viridiplantae; Streptophyta; Magnoliopsida; Cucurbitales; Cucurbitaceae.